AAUCGUCCUAUUGAACCAGGAAAACAUAAGGUCAUGGUGUUCACUAGACCCACUUGGCGGCAGGGAUUCCAGCAAAUUUAAAAAAAAAAACAAUAAAACCAGCAAACAGAUGCAGGAAAGGUGAGUGGAUAUGGUUUUAUUCAUAUUCUUUGAUUCCUUCCCUCUAAGCUUCUUGAGAAAGCAUGUGAAUAUGACAACUAACACAUAAGAUAAUAAGAAGUGUUGAAUGUGCUGCAGGCAAUGUUCUGAACAUUCAUAGCAACAACCUGAGUUGACUCAUCCCUGGGUAACAACAACUGGAGCCUAAUUUCUGAGUUUCUCUCGCCUCGGAGAGUUAAAGCAAUAUAAACCUAAAGUACUACACUAAUCAGGACCAGAAUGACAUAACAUGUAGGAAGAAUGCUCCUUUCUAUAUGCUUUGACACUCUGAGCAUGUUCUCAAUUAUCUUCUAAUAGACAUCUGCCACUUACCAGAACAGAGUAGCAAUAUUAUAAGUCUCUCUGACUUCAAGUUCCUAGUAAUGAAGAUUUUCUAUAAAAAAAAGUUCCAAACAAUGGAGAGCAGGGAAAUUAACAGAUAGAAUGAAAAAGGGGGACAUAAGGGGCAUUGAUGAAGAUUGGAUUUAGCUUCUACACAACUACAGUAUCUCCAGGCAUGACUCCUUGUGAAAAUAUCCAUGAAGUAUGCUUUCCCAAUAACUAUAGGUAGAACUUUAGUUUUUCUUUAAGAAAAUUGUUUGACUGGAGUAUAGAGGUCAUGAUCUAGAGUUGCAAAGACAAGAGCUAAGCUCCACAAAUUGGAAUCAUAGUAGGAGGACCAGGUGCCUUUUUUAUUCUUAUUUUCUUGGCAGCAUCUCUAGUUUUACCAAAACGCAAUUUGUGAUUUCCGAUAGUCUACAGAACACACAAAAAAAAGGGUUUCUUGCAUGUGUGUUGAAAAUUUGACUAAACUAUUCAAAGCUCAUGAAUUAUGCUCUCACUUUAGCAACCUUUGGCAACUAGAUAAUUUGUCACGCCCCAAAUCCGAAUCAUGACCGGCCGUGCUAUUGCAAUCUUAUGCACACAAUAACACAAAGCCACUUAAAAUUUCAUAAUAAAAAUAAAUAGUUUCAUUUACUAAUGUCAUAACAUUAUUGAUGAAGUUGGAACAAUACAGAGCUUCUAAAAUUUGAUUAUUACAUAACAUUUUCUACUUCCUACUCCGAAUAGGGUGCUGCCUGCCGAUGUUCUUAAAGCCCUUUCUUUUACAAAGAAGUGAGACGCAUAUACAAAAACUUCGUAUAGGAAUAUUUAAAUGUUCCUCUUAUUCUACAGUUACCCCAACCCUGAAUAACAUCAAGCUCCCUACUCCUAGUGGUCUUAUUCAUCUGUAGAAAAAAGUAGAUAAAAAGAUAUGAGCUACACAGCUCAGUAAGUAACCAAGUACUAUCUUAUUGGAUCAAGCAUAAUUAUGCCAAUGCAGUGUUUAAGAAGCUAACAGUUAUGGCAAAAUAAAGCAUUUUAUAGAUGAUAUACACAAAUCAGGUCAUAAAGCAAUGCAUGUUCUAUCAAUGAAAGUUCAUAAAUAUGAAUAUGCAUCAUAUAAAAUUCUUGCCAUUAUUCAUGCUUUGAAAUCCAUACUUAUCAUUAUUCAUGCUUCGAAAAUCGUGCUCUCAGAUGGUAGUGCAGCUAUGGUCACUGUUAUUACCCGCGACAGGGCCGUAAUAUUUACCAACUACUAUUACCCGUUGGCGGGGCCAUAUGCCGAGCUAUUAUAACCCGCUGGCGAGGGUUAUAAUCUUUGCCAACUAUUAUUCCCCAUUGGUAGGGUCUACACCAAGCUAUUAUAACCCGCUGGCGAGGGUCGUAUGCUGAGCUAUUAUAAUCCGCUAGCGAGGGCCGUUUGCCGAGCUAUUAUAACCAGCUGGCGAGGGCCGUAUAUAGCAAUCUGAGAGUUUAUAAAUUAUUAUUCUUUUUCUUUCAUAAAUCAUAAUCAUCAUAAAUAGGUAGAAAAAUGAUAAAUGGCAUCAUAUAAUUUAAAAUGCAUAAACAUGCCUCAAAUAUCAUUUUUCAUGCAGUCUAACAUAAUCAUAAUUUCAUAGCUCAUACACCAUCAAAUAUUCAUGAAGGAUGCUCUUUAAUCAAAUUCAUGGAUCAUAUGCAAUCAUAUACUUGAUCCUAAUUUUGAGAAAAUACAUCAUAUCAAAUACAAUUUCAUAAUUUCAUACUUACAAUUAAACAGUAAUUUGAAAUCAAUAAGAUUGUGCCAGGGUUACUUACAGCAAUUUGCUUUCCAAUUCCUAGGUUUAUGUGCUAAUUCUUCAAUUACCAAUCAUCAUCAUCAAAUUACCUGUUAAUUGCAUGUUCAAUUUCAUUUAUUUACAUUCUUUCUUAAUUAAUCCGUUUACAUCCCAACUAUAGAACUCAAUUUCAUUCUUAGGUCCCUACCCUAGUUCAGGUCUAGGUCAGCUUCUGGUUCAGACCUGAUUUAAUAUUUGAUUCAGGUCUGAUUCAGUUUCUGGCACAAGUCUGAGCCAAUUUCAUCUUCUGGUUUGGACCCAAUAGCCUUCUAUUAAGGUUUGUGCACUUUAUGCCCAAUUUGUUUUGAGUUCACAACUACUUAGCUUGAU
Molecule: long non-coding RNA, 2609 nt
Filed under: Phoenix dactylifera (date palm)
Lineage: Eukaryota; Viridiplantae; Streptophyta; Magnoliopsida; Arecales; Arecaceae
Description: long non-coding RNA (PDAC_LNC005875)
Source: RNAcentral